GCUCCCUGGCAGGCUUAAGCUCCCUGGGGUGCGCAGUCCCACCUUUUCCAAGAGCAACCUUUGUGGGAGGGGGGCGGGCAGGAAGGGGAGGCUGGGAUCUGCUUCCUCCCCAUGGGCUGCCCCGAGAGUCCCUACCUCUGUGUCCUGAAAUGACUUAGGAAAUGCGGAGAGGCUUUUCUCCAAGGGUCACCACAGCCGCUGCCCCAGGGAGGGUGGCAGAACAGGCCCCCGGACCUAUCAGGGCCAGAUCUCAGGUCCCAGGGAACCUUCCAGGGUCGGGGGAGCCACACAGCCCACAUCCUGCGUCCUUGGGAACCCCGCACACCAUUUUCCAGAUCCCAGCAGGGCCACCCCGUCCUGACCCAGUCUUGGCCGUACCACCCAGCACCAGUUGCCGCCCCAUGGACAGGACUGGGGCCAGGACUGGCCGGGUCAGGGGAAGAAAGCCGAGUCACGGGGAAGGACAUUCCGGCCGAGCCACAGCCCCGCCUCCCUGGGGUCCUGGGCUGCCCAGCUCCUGACCCUGCCUGCCUUACAGCUCCCUGCCCAGAGGAUCUGGUGACACAACUGUCACAGCCUGUCAUUCCACACCUGUGGCCACACCGUCCCCAGACUCCAGACCCACGCGGGGCGUGUGGCGGGACGUGCCCAGGCUGGAUGGGGGAUGCAGCCAGGACGGUGCCAGGGGAGGCUGGUGCCCUCCACCACACAGAGCCUAGACCCAGGACCAGGACCAUGGCCCAAAUCUGCGCCCUCCCUUCACUCGCCCCAGAGAACCUGUCCAGGCUCACAGAAAAAUACAUAUUAUUAUUAUUUUUUUUUGACAGAGUCUCACUCUGUCACCGGGCUGGAGUGUAGUGGUGCAUUCUUGGGUCACCACAACCUCUGCCUCCCAAGUUCAAGCGAUUUUCCUGCCUCAGCCUCCUGAGUAGCUGGGGUUACCGGCACCUGCCACUACGCCCAGCUAAUGUUUUGUAUUUUUAGUAGAGACAGGGUUUCACCAUUUUGGCCAGGCUAGUCUUGAACUCCUGACCUUGUGAUUCACCUGCCUGGCCUCCCAAAGUCAGAAAAAUACAUAUUAACCUGGCUGCUGGUCCUUCCCAGGGAGUGGCAGCCCAGGUAGGGGGCAGAGGUGAAAAGGGCAGGAGAAGCCGCACCGUGGCCCAGUGGGGCCUGACCCACCACACUGCUGCCUGUGGUGGGUGUUGGUCAUGGGGUUUGGGUGUGAUGCAUGGUGUAGGGUUAUGAGAGGGCCGGUUAUGUGGGGUUGGGGGUGUACACGGGCGUGAGGGUGUGUCUGUGCACAGGUGUUGGGGUGCGUCUGUGCAUGGAUGUUGGGAUGUGUCUGCACGGGUGUAGGGUUGUGUCUGCACAGGUGUCUGUGCACGGGUGUAGGGGUGUGUCUGCACAGGUGACUGCACGGGUGUAGGGGUGUGUCUGCACAGGUGACUGCACAGGUGUAGGGGUGUGUCUGCACGGGUGUAGGGGUGUGUCUGCACAGGUGACUGCAAGGUGUAGGGGUGUGUCUGCAUGGGUGUAGGGGUGUGUCUGCACAGGUGACUGCACGGGUGUAGGGGUGUGUCUGCACAGGUGACUGCACAGGUGUAGGGGUGUGUCUGCACGGGUGUAGGGGUGUGUCUGCACAGGUGACUGCAAGGUGUAGGGGUGUGUCUGCACGGGUGUAGGGGUGUGUCUGCACAGGUGACUGCACGGGUGUAGGGGUGUGUCUGCACAGGUGACUGCACAGGUGUAGGGGUGUGUCUGCACAGGUGUCUGUGCACGGGUGUAGGGGUGUGUCUGCACGGGUGUAGGGGUGUGUCUGCACAGGUGUCUGUGCACGGGUGUAGGGGUGUGUCUGCACGGGUGUAGGGGUGUGUCUGCACAGGUGUCUGUGCACGGGUGUGGGGGUGUGUCUGCACGGGUGUAGGGUUGUGUCUGCACAGGUGUCUCUGUGCACGGGUGUAGGGGUGCGUCUGCACAGGUGUAGGGGUGUCUGUGCACAGGUGUUGGGGUGUAGGUGUGCAUGGUCUGAUGAGAGCAGCUGUCGUGUGCUGGCCAGGUCUUCUUGAUGUCCUCAGUGACCUCUCGCUCUGUCACUGGGAGACAGAACUGAGACAGGGUCAAUGCUGCUGGAACAUUCAGAACUAAUGCUCAUUGGAUCCUGAGCGGUCAUUCCAAGAAUGUGGUCAAGUGGGGAAAGAAAGAAGUGUGGGGACCUCUCUGGACCUCAGUCUCUUGCUCUGUAAAGUGGGUGCAGCAAACCGAAUUUCUACCAAAAAAUACAAACAAUUAGCCACACGUGGUGGCAUGCACCCAUAAUCCCAACUACUCGGGAGGCUGAGGCAGGAGGGCAGGAGAAUCACUUGAACCCAGGAGGUGGAGGCUGCAGUGAGCCUAGAUCAUACCACUGCACUCCAGCCUGGGUGACAGACCAAGACUCUGUCUCAAAAAGAAAAAAUAAAUAAGUAAAUAAAUAAAUAGUCCAGGCGCAGUGGCUCACGCCUAUAAUCCCAGCACUUUGAGAGGCCAGUGUGGGCAGAUCACCUGAGGUC
This 2552-nucleotide long non-coding RNA is filed under the name Homo sapiens (human). Its description in RNAcentral is "HSALNT0246434". The record is from RNAcentral. Lineage: Eukaryota; Metazoa; Chordata; Mammalia; Primates; Hominidae.